GAUGAACGUUGGCGGAGUGCCUAAUACAUGCAAGUCGAACGGUGACGAUUUUGUAGUAAUACGAAUGAAAUCACAGUGGCGAACGGGUGAGUAACGCGUUGGUGAUCUGCCUCGAAGUGUGGAAUAACGCUCCGAAAGGAGCGCUAAUACCGCAUGUGCUCUCGAUGUUUAGAAAGUUGAGAGUAAAGGAUUUAUUCGCUUCGAGAGGAGCCUGCGUCCCAUCAGCUGGUUGGUAGGGUAACGGCCUACCAAGGCAAUGACGGGUAGGGGACCUGAGAGGGUCGGCCCCCCACAAUGGAACUGAAACACGGUCCAUACACCUACGGGUGGCAGCAGUAGGGAAUAUUAGAAUGGACGAAAGUCUGAUCUAGCGACACCGCGUGUGCGAAGAAGGCCUUCGGGUUGUAAAGCACUUUUUGGAAGGAAUAGGAAGGAAGGUACUUCCAGAAUAAGUCUCGGCUAACUACGUG
RNAcentral lists this ribosomal RNA (470 nucleotides) under uncultured bacterium. Its description in RNAcentral is "bacterial SSU rRNA". It matches the Rfam family "Bacterial small subunit ribosomal RNA", at positions 28 to 507 of the family's 1533-position model. The record is from RNAcentral.